Long non-coding RNA from Dreissena polymorpha, 2300 nucleotides. RefSeq lists it as uncharacterized. Lineage: Eukaryota; Metazoa; Mollusca; Bivalvia; Myida; Dreissenidae. The transcript is spliced from 3 exons. The record is from RefSeq and is a predicted model, not a curated record.
AUUUUUUUGUAAACUGUACUGAUGGUUUUGCUAGUUAUGCCAUAGGUUGUUGAUAACUCGCGUUUGUUCAGCUAAUUUCAUUAUUUCUUUUAUAGCCAUUAAUGUGUUAUCAUGGUCAUUGACGUGAACAAAAGCAAACUGUUAUUUUUACAGCAUCCAGUAAAAAUACCCAUAUUGUAAAUCACACGGGUACUACUGCUCUAAUGUUUGAUCAAGAAUGCAUCUAAUGGAUAAUCAAACUAGUGGUUUCACUCAAUUGAUUUUUGCAUAUAUAGGUAGGUGUACCUAGAGAUUGAGCUGGAGACAGUGAAGGUGCUGACCUCUGUGUGGAACACUUAGAAGCUGGCAAGUUUUCAUAUUGAAGGGUAUGGUUCCCAACCGCCCAUCACACACAGAAUGAAGCUUGUCGUCUUCCGCAGUAAAAACUGGGUGCUGGAAGAUGCUUACUGCUAUAUUGACUGCUUCCGAGCGCUUCCUGGACCUAAAAAUUAUCUCCCAGCAGCAACCUCCCCAAGGUGUGACGAGAGUCUUCAAGGUCAAAGGUCCUAGGCCACUAAGAAAUAUUUCUUUUAAAUCUCACUCAAAUGGUGACCAUAUUGUUUCAAUAUGCAGAGUUUGGAUUUGGCAUCACUCAAUAAUAGCGUCAUUAAACCGUUUCUGACGAACUUCCUACAUACCCAAACGCUUGACACCGUAUAGAAAACUAAGUUUUCGUAGCUGAUGAUACAUCCACAAGAAAAUUGAAAUGCAAAUGGUACUACACAGUCAAAAGUAUACCAAUGGAAAGAUCUAGGAUCCCAAAAGGUGCCUGGUGCUGCUAAAGAAGUGAAGCAGUGUGGAAAUUCGGAACAGACGAUGACAUUUUCUGAUUAUGUGUUAUAUCAAGGGUAUUUGUAAGUAAAAUGUAUUUAAUUACAGGUGUAAGCACAUGUGCUUCGUGAGUGUUGUUAUCGAAUACUUGACAAAAUUAAUUAAAGUUUGGAGGAUAUUCAUCAUUUCAAUGUUGAUGCCUUAAAGGGACAGGAGCGAUGAACAAAAAAAAAAGGAGCUGGGUGAAGCUACCUCCUAUUUUGCUCUACGUUUUCCCUAAGUAUUCCAAGUUUGUUUGAGCCUAUACAUUGUGAAAUGUGUUUUGUUAUUAUGAAACCGGUUAACGUCGAAUAGACGCGAUUUAUAUGGGUAAUGAUUUUAGAUAGAAACGAAUUGAGCAAAUUACAAAAUUACAAGGCCCGGUCAGACCGACUUACGAAUAUGCAACGUAGAAAAAACGCACAAAAAUGCAGAUUUUGAUUAUCCGGUGAUGAAAUUACCUGCUUUGUCGCUCAAGAUUCUCGCAAACGGUGUGUGAAGCGUAGGAAACACACAAUUACCGCACAAGUACCGGUGCUAUAACGGGAAAAAACGAACGUUUAACGGAAAUGUACCUGAUAAUUAACGGUCGGCUAACGGAUAUGACUGUGCGAGUAAAGGACUUCUACCGGAUAAAACGGCAGUGAAAUGCAUUAGUACCGGACAAAACGUUCGCCCAACGUGAGAGAAACGGAAAAGUACCGAACACCAACGUACAACGUACAACGAUGAAAAAGUAGGGCACAUCCUCAGAAUCAUGUGGCAAAACUUCAGGUUCUGGCAGGUUAAGGUCUCCGUUCUCAGCUGCUGCCUUCAGGUCGGAAUCGUUCCACAACUGUGCAUCGGAUGCAGCAACACGGCCUCCAAUGUCAGCCCAGACGAACUUGUACUCAGAAUCCUACAGGGCUAGCAGGACAACGGUUAAGUACUUCUUGUAAUUAAAAUACGUAGACCCGGAUCUUGGUGGACAUUUGCAAGCAAUAUGUUCGCCAUCAAUAGCACCAAGAGUAUGGGGGAUAUUCCAGCUGUCCCUGAAGCCGUCCGCUAUUCGCGUGCAAUCGGCAGCUGUUGUUGGCAACGACAUCACCUCGUCAGCAUACUCAUCUAUGACUGCUCUACAGACCUGACGCGUAAAAGAUAACAGUAUAAUAAGCUCGCGUGGAUUAUAAGUGUAUGACACAUGUAGUAGAUAAUCCAUGACUUUUAGCGAGUGGAUGAUAAAGUAAAAAUAUACUACUUCAUAAAAUGUUCUUAUAACUGUGUGCAUUUCAAGAUAUGCGCACAAGACAGUACUAAUUACAACAUACAAUUUAGAAGGUUAGUGUUGUAAUGCGCGCACUCAUCUAUUUGCCUUUUAUCCUAUACCAAUAACUUAACACAAUGCAAUUCAUAUAAACUGAUGCUAGACGUAGACAUUAAAAUAUAUAAAAAUAUUAAAAUGACUAACAGAA